GCGCACCAGUCGAGAAACUUUACAAUGUGCGAAAGCACGAUAAGGGAACUCUGAGUGCCUCCUAAGGAGGCUGUUCAGGUGUCUAAAAGCGCCUGGAGUAAGGGCUGGGUAAGACCGGUGCCAGCCGCCGCGGUAACACCAGCAGCCCAGGUGGUAGCCACUUUUAUUGGGUCUAAAGCGUCCGUAGCCGGUUGAGUAAGUUCCUUGGGAAAUUUGGCUGCUCAACAGUCAAGCUUCCAGGGAAUACUGCUCGACUUGGGACUGGGAGAGGUCAGAGGUACUCCAGGGGUAGGGGUGAAAUCCAUUAAUCCCUGGGGGACCACCGGUAGCGAAGGCGUCUGACCAGACCAGGUCCGACGGUGAGGGACGAAGGCUAGGGUCGCGAACCGGAUUAGAUACCCCCGUAGU
RNAcentral lists this ribosomal RNA (408 nucleotides) under uncultured microorganism. Its description in RNAcentral is "bacterial SSU rRNA". It matches the Rfam family "Archaeal small subunit ribosomal RNA", at positions 330 to 745 of the family's 1478-position model. The record is from RNAcentral.